AGCUCAGCUGGCUAGAGCGUACGGUUCAUACCCGUGAGGUCAGCGGUUCGAUCCCGCUAGUCUCCACCA
This 69-nucleotide transfer RNA is filed under the name Staphylococcus aureus. RNAcentral describes it as "tRNA-Met". It matches the Rfam family "tRNA", at positions 9 to 71 of the family's 71-position model. Rfam says of the family: Transfer RNA (tRNA) molecules are approximately 80 nucleotides in length. The record is from RNAcentral. Lineage: Bacteria; Bacillati; Bacillota; Bacilli; Caryophanales; Staphylococcaceae.